GACGAACGCUGGCGGCGUGCUUAACACAUGCCAGUCGAACGGAAAGGCCCUGCUUUUGUGGGGUGCUCGAGUGGCGAACGGGUGAGUAACACGUGAGUAACCUGCCCUUGACUUUGGGAUAACUUCAGGAAACUGGGGCUAAUACCGGAUAGGAGCUCCUGCUGCAUGGUGGGGGUUGGAAAGUUUCGGCGGUUGGGGAUGGACUCGCGGCUUAUCAGCUUGUUGGUGGGGUAGUGGCUUACCAAGGCUUUGACGGGUAGCCGGCCUGAGAGGGUGACCGGCCAAAUUGGGACUGAGAUAAGGCCCAGACUCCUACGGGAGGCAGCAGUGGGGAAUAUUGCACAAUGGGCGGAAGCCUGAUGCAGCAACGCCGCGUGCGGGAUGACGGCCUUCGGGUUGUAAACCGCUUUCGCCUGUGACGAAGCGUGAGUGACGGUAAUGGGUAAAGAAGCACCGGCUAACUACGUG
RNAcentral lists this ribosomal RNA (468 nucleotides) under uncultured bacterium. RNAcentral's name for it is "partial 16S ribosomal RNA". It matches the Rfam family "Bacterial small subunit ribosomal RNA", at positions 28 to 507 of the family's 1533-position model. The record is from RNAcentral.